RNAcentral lists this ribosomal RNA (465 nucleotides) under uncultured bacterium. RNAcentral's name for it is "partial 16S ribosomal RNA". It matches the Rfam family "Bacterial small subunit ribosomal RNA", at positions 28 to 507 of the family's 1533-position model. The record is from RNAcentral.
GGCGAACGCUGGCGGCGUGCUUAACACAUGCAAGUCGAACGGAAAGGCCCUGCUUGCAGGGUCCUCGAGUGGCGAACGGGCGAGUAACACGUGGGUGCUCUGCCCUGCACUUCGGGAUAGGCGUGGGAAACUGGGUCUAAUACCUGAUAGGACCGCCCUUUAGCGUGUGUGGUGGAAAGUUUUUUGGGUGUAGGAUGAGCUGGCGGCCUAUCGGCUUGUUGGUGGGGUAAUGGGCUACCAAGGCGGCGACGGGUAGCCGGCCUGUGAGGGUGUACGGCGACCUAGGGACUGAGAGACGGCCCAGGCGGGGACGGGAGGCAGCAGUGGGGAAGAUUGAACAAUGGGCGCAAGCCUGGUGAAGAGAGGCCGCGGGUGGGAUGAACGCCUUCGGGUUGAAGACACGCUGCGCGAGGGACGAAGCUUGUUGUGACGGUACCUAGAGAAGAAGCACCGGCUAACUACGUG